This 503-nucleotide ribosomal RNA is filed under the name uncultured bacterium. RNAcentral describes it as "partial 16S ribosomal RNA". It matches the Rfam family "Bacterial small subunit ribosomal RNA", at positions 28 to 523 of the family's 1533-position model. The record is from RNAcentral.
GAUGAACGCUGGCGGCAGGCUUAACACAUGCAAGUCGAGCGGAGUGAUGGUGCUUGCACUAUCACUUAGCGGCGGACGGGUGAGUAAUGCUUAGGAAUCUGCCUAUUAGUGGGGGACAACAUCUCGAAAGGGAUGCUAAUACCGCAUACGUCCUACGGGAGAAAGCAGGGGAUCACUUGUGACCUUGCGCUAAUAGAUGAGCCUAAGUCGGAUUAGCUAGUUGGUGGGGUAAAGGCCUACCAAGGCGACGAUCUGUAGCGGGUCUGAGAGGAUGAUCCGCCACACUGGGACUGAGACACGGCCCAGACUCCUACGGGAGGCAGCAGUGGGGAAUAUUGGACAAUGGGGGGAACCCUGAUCCAGCCAUGCCGCGUGUGUGAAGAAGGCCUUAUGGUUGUAAAGCACUUUAAGCGAGGAGGAGGCUCUUUUGGUUAAUACCCAAGAUGAGUGGACGUUACUCGCAGAAUAAGCACCGGCUAACUCUGUGCCAGCAGCCGCCGUAA